Molecule: ribosomal RNA, 390 nt
Filed under: uncultured eukaryote
Lineage: Eukaryota
Description: SSU rRNA
Rfam family: Eukaryotic small subunit ribosomal RNA
Source: RNAcentral
AGCUCCAAGAGCGUAUAUUAAAGUUGUUGCAGUUAAAAAGCUCGUAGUUGGAUUUCUGGUACAAUGCGCCUGGCCCGCGACCGUUAGGUCUGUGAGUGCCGGUGCGCGUUUGCCAUCCUUCUAGAAAACGUUUCUGCUCUUUACCGGAGUUGGACUCGCGAUCUAGAUCUUUUACUUUGAAAAAAUUAGAGUGUUUAAAGCAGGCUUUUGCUGUGAAUACAUUAGCAUGGAAUAAUAAUCUAGGACUUCGGUUCUAUUUUGUUGGUUUCUAGUACUGAAGUAAUGAUUGAUAGGGAUAGUUGGGGGUGCUAGUAUUGGCCGGCCAGAGGUGAAAUUCUUGGAUUCGGUCAAGACUAACUUAUGCGAAAGCAUUCACCAAGGAUGUCUUCU